GGUUCCCUGUUUUGUGCGUGCCUAUAUGGGCACUAUUUAUUACCAACAGUAUUUAAAUGGGAAUUUUGCUCCGUGUGUGGCUGGCGUGCCUCGCGGUUGGUGCAUAUGUUGCUAACCAUAAUUUUUCGAGGAUUACAAAAGCACAUGGGCGGGUACCCACCUAGCGAGACUAGGUAAUUUAAAUACGCCUUGGGCACGGCAUAAUGGGGCGUUU
This 214-nucleotide non-coding RNA is filed under the name Clostridiales bacterium. RNAcentral describes it as "6S RNA". It matches the Rfam family "6S / SsrS RNA". Rfam says of the family: E. coli 6S RNA was the first non coding RNA to be sequenced, but its function was unknown until recently. It consists of 184 nucleotides that fold into an extended hairpin structure with a large single-stranded internal bulge. The 6S RNA specifically associates with RNA polymerase holoenzyme containing the sigma70 specificity factor. Lineage: Bacteria; Bacillati; Bacillota; Clostridia; Eubacteriales. The record is from RNAcentral.